Molecule: non-coding RNA, 561 nt
Organism: Coffea arabica (coffee)
Lineage: Eukaryota; Viridiplantae; Streptophyta; Magnoliopsida; Gentianales; Rubiaceae
Source: RefSeq, a predicted model, not a curated record
AUCAAAGGGAAGCAAUAACUAGAGAGUUGGGCUAUUGUAUCUUGGAGGCGGCGUGCUAGACCUUCUAUAUGCUGACUCAAGAGAGUUCAAGAGGACGAACUAGGGAUAAAGUGAAGGGUUGCAAUUAAUUGGGUGGAAAAUAAAGAAAGUAAGGGGAAAUGCUGUCCGAUCUUUGAAAGCAUGUAAUUGCUUUGAGUUUGAGUUGAAGGGCUUGAGUUUGCUCUAUGACAUUGUCUAUAAUGGAUGAGAUUCAUGAGCCGUGGUUGGUGAGUGACCCCAAACUAUUUCCAAAGCUACUUAUGAACUGUUUCUUGCAUUAUUUACUCGAUUGCAUAUCCUGUGUGCUUGCAUGUGAGUUCAUGACAUGAUUUGGGUUCAAUGAGUUCUUGGGAAGUCUUGUGCUUAGAACCAACAUCUCCACCACUGUUUACUGUUCAUCUGGAGCACCAACGGGCUCCCUAUCACUGAUUCAUUGUUAAUUGAUCUAUUUGAGCAUUGGAUAUUUAAGUACAAUGAUUUCACUAGCUCACGAGAGCAAUAAACGAACUUUUGAUUACUGAG